Molecule: ribosomal RNA, 274 nt
Filed under: uncultured bacterium
Lineage: Bacteria
Description: partial 16S ribosomal RNA
Rfam family: Bacterial small subunit ribosomal RNA
Source: RNAcentral
AUACGGAGGGUGCAGGCGUUAAUCGGAAUUACUGGGCGUAAAGCGCGCGUAGGCGGAUAUUUAAGUCUCAUGUGAAAGCCCUGGGCUCAACCUGGGAACUGCAUGGGAUACUGGGUAUCUAGAAUACAGUAGAGGGUAGUGGAAUUUCAGGUGUAGCGGUGAAAUGCGUAGAGAUCUGAAGGAACAUCAGUGGCGAAGGCGACUACCUGGACUGAUAUUGACGCUGAGGUGCGAAAGCGUGGGGAGCAAACGGGAUUAGAUACCCUAGUAGUCC